GGGGGGCGCUAUCUGCAGUCGAGCGAAUCAUAGGAGCUUGCUCCUGUUGGUUAGCGGCGGACGGGUGAGUAACACGUGGGCAACCUGCCUGUAAGACUGGGAUAACUUCGGGAAACCGGAGCUAAUACCGGAUAAUCCUUUUCCUCUCAUGAGGAAAAGCUGAAAGUCGGUUUCUGCUGAACCCUUCCAAAGGGGCCCCCGCGCCAUAACUAAUUGGGGAAGGAACCGGUCCCCCAAGGGACCAAGCCUAACCCAACCGAAAAGGGGAACCGGCC
Molecule: ribosomal RNA, 275 nt
Filed under: Bacillus sp. COL1/A1
Lineage: Bacteria; Bacillati; Bacillota; Bacilli; Caryophanales; Bacillaceae
Description: partial 16S ribosomal RNA
Rfam family: Bacterial small subunit ribosomal RNA
Source: RNAcentral